Molecule: transfer RNA, 79 nt
Filed under: Pasteurella multocida
Lineage: Bacteria; Pseudomonadati; Pseudomonadota; Gammaproteobacteria; Pasteurellales; Pasteurellaceae
Also listed under: 1 other name
Description: tRNA-OTHER
Rfam family: tRNA
About the family: Transfer RNA (tRNA) molecules are approximately 80 nucleotides in length.
Source: RNAcentral
AACGGUGUAGCUCAAAUGGUAGAGCGGCAGAUUUUUUUUGAUCUGUGCGUUACUGGUUCGAAUCCAGUCACCGUGGCCA